Molecule: ribosomal RNA, 492 nt
Filed under: uncultured bacterium
Lineage: Bacteria
Description: partial 16S ribosomal RNA
Rfam family: Bacterial small subunit ribosomal RNA
Source: RNAcentral
AGUGAACGCUGGCGGCAGGCCUAACACAUGCAAGUCGAACGGCAGCACAGUAAGAGCUUGCUCUUACGGGUGGCGAGUGGCGGAAGGGUGAGGAAUACAUCGGAAUCUACUUUUUCGUGGGGGAUAACGUAGGGAAACCUACGCUAAUACCGCAUACGACCUACGGGGGAAAGCAGGGGAUCUUCGGACCUUGCGCGAAUGAAUGCGCCGAUGUCGGAUUAGCUAGUUGGCGGGGUAAAGGCCAACCAAGGCGACGAUCCGUAGCUGGUCUGAGAGGAUGAUCAGCCACACUGGAGCUGAGACACGGUCCUGGCGCCUACGGGAGGCAGCAGUGGGGAAUGUUGGGCAGUGGGCGCAAGCCUGAUCCAGCCAUACCGCGUGGGUGAAGAAGGCCUUCGGGGUGUAAAGCCGGUUUGUUGGGUAAGAAAAGCAGCAGGUUGAUACCCCGCUGUUCUGACGGUACCCAAAGAAUAAGCACCGGCUAACUUCGUG